RNAcentral lists this ribosomal RNA (254 nucleotides) under uncultured bacterium. RNAcentral's name for it is "partial 16S ribosomal RNA". It matches the Rfam family "Bacterial small subunit ribosomal RNA", at positions 524 to 776 of the family's 1533-position model. The record is from RNAcentral.
UACAGAGGGUGCAAGCGUUAAUCGGAAUUACUGGGCGUAAAGCGUGCGUAGUCGGUUAUCUAAGUCGGGUGUGAAAUCCCCGGGCUCAACCUGGGAAUUGCAUUCGAUACUGGAUAGCUAGAGUUCGGCAGAGGGAAGCGGAAUUUCCGGUGUAGCGGUGAAAUGCGUAGAUAUCGGAAGGAACAUCAGUGGCGAAAGCGGCGAUCUGGGUCGAUACUGACGCGUGAGGUGACGAAGCGGUGGGAGCAAACAGG